CCUUCGGGAGCCGACGAGUGGCGGACGGGUGAGUAACGCGUAGGAAUCUGCCUUAUAGUGGGGGACAACGUGGGGAAACCCACGCUAAUACCGCAUACGCCCUACGGGGGAAAGCGGGGGCUCUUCGGACCUCGCGCUAUGAGAUGAGCCUGCGUUAGAUUAGCUAGUUGGUAGGGUAAAGGCCUACCAAGGCGACGAUCUAUAGCUGGUCUGAGAGGACGAUCAGCCACACUGGGACUGAGACACGGCCCAGACUCCUACGGGAGGCAGCAGUGGGGAAUAUUGGACAAUGGGCGCAAGCCUGAUCCAGCAAUACCGCGUGUGUGAAGAAGGCCCUAGGGUUGUAAAGCACUUUCAAUGGGGAGGAAAACCUGCCGGUCAAUACCCGGUAGCUUGACAUUACCUUUAGAAGAAGCACCGGCUAACUCCGUGCCAGCAGCCGCGGUAAUACGGAGGGUGCGAGCGUUAAUCGGAAUUACUGGGCGUAAAGCGUGCGUAGGCGGUUCGUUAAGUCAGAUGUGAAAGCCCUGGGCUCAACCUGGGAACUGCAUUUGAAACUGGCGUACUAGAGUUGAGUAGAGGGGAGUGGAAUUUCAGGUGUAGCGGUGAAAUGCGUAGAUAUCUGAAGGAACACCAGUGGCGAAGGCGACUCCCUGGACUCAAACUGACGCUGAGGUACGAAAGCGUGGGUAGCAAACAGGAUUAAAUACCCUGGUAGUCCACGCUGUAAACGAUGUCAACUAGCCGUUGGUCCUAUUUACAGGAUUAGUGGCGCAGCUAACGCAUUAAGUUGACCGCCUGGGGAGUACGGCCGCAAGGUUAAAACUCAAAUGAAUUGACGGGGGSCCGCACAAGCGGUGGAGCAUGUGGUUUAAUUCGAUGCAACGCGAAGAACCUUACCUACCCUUGACAUCCAUAGAAUCAA
This 925-nucleotide ribosomal RNA is filed under the name uncultured Methylobacter sp. RNAcentral's name for it is "bacterial SSU rRNA". It matches the Rfam family "Bacterial small subunit ribosomal RNA", at positions 77 to 999 of the family's 1533-position model. The record is from RNAcentral. Lineage: Bacteria; Pseudomonadati; Pseudomonadota; Gammaproteobacteria; Methylococcales; Methylococcaceae.